CCUACGGGAGGCAGCAGUGAGGAAUAUUGGUCAAUGGACGAGAGUCUGAACCAGCCAAGUAGCGUGAAGGAUGACUGCCCUAUGGGUUGUAAACUUCUUUUAUCUGGGAAUAAAACCUUCCACGUGUGGCAUUUUGUAUGUACCUUAUGAAUAAGGAUCGGCUAACUCCGUGCCAGCAGCCUCGGUAAUCCGGAGGAUCCGAGCGUUAUCCGGAUUUAUUGGGUUUAAAGGGAGCGUAGGCGGAGUGUUAAGUCAGUUGUGAAAGUCUGCGGCUCAACCGUAAAAUUGCAGUUGAAACUGGCAGUCUUGAGUACAGUAGAGGUGGGCGGAAUUCGUGGUGGAGCGGUGAAAUGCUUAGAUAUCACGAAGAACUCCGAUUGCGAAGGCAGUUGACUGGACUGCAACUGACGCUGAGGCUCGAAAGUGUGGGUAUCAAACAGGAUUAGAUACCCCUGUAGUC
RNAcentral lists this ribosomal RNA (460 nucleotides) under uncultured bacterium. RNAcentral's name for it is "partial 16S ribosomal RNA". It matches the Rfam family "Bacterial small subunit ribosomal RNA", at positions 338 to 795 of the family's 1533-position model. The record is from RNAcentral.